UCCUGCCAGUAGGUGGCGCUUUCCAGA
This 27-nucleotide non-coding RNA is filed under the name Homo sapiens (human). The record is from RNAcentral. Lineage: Eukaryota; Metazoa; Chordata; Mammalia; Primates; Hominidae.